UGGGGAAUUUUGGACAAUGGGGGCAACCCUGAUCCAGCAAUGCCGCGUGUGUGAAGAAGGCCUUCGGGUUGUAAAGCACUUUUGUCCGGAAAGAAAUCCCUUCAGAUAAUACCUGAGGGGGAUGACGGUACCGGAAGAAUAAGCACCGGCUAACUACGUGCCAGCAGCCGCGGUAAUACGUAGGGUGCAAGCGUUAAUCGGAAUUACUGGGCGUAAAGCGUGCGCAGGCGGUUGGGCAAGACCGAUGUGAAAUCCCCGGGCUUAACCUGGGAAUGGCAUUGGUGACUGUCCGGCUAGAGUGUGUCAGAGGGGGGUAGAAUUCCACGUGUAGCAGUGAAAUGCGUAGAGAUGUGGAGGAAUACCGAUGGCGAAGGCAGCCCCCUGGGAUAACACUGACGCUCAUGCACGAAAGCGUGGGGAGCAAACAGGAUUAGAUACCCUGGUAGUCCACGCCCUAAACGAUGUCAACUAGUUGUCGGGGAUUAAUUUCCUUGGUAACGCAGCUAACGCGUGAAGUUGACCGCCUGGGGAGUACGGUCGCAAGAUUAA
RNAcentral lists this ribosomal RNA (549 nucleotides) under uncultured Burkholderiaceae bacterium. Its description in RNAcentral is "bacterial SSU rRNA". It matches the Rfam family "Bacterial small subunit ribosomal RNA", at positions 355 to 897 of the family's 1533-position model. Lineage: Bacteria; Pseudomonadati; Pseudomonadota; Betaproteobacteria; Burkholderiales; Burkholderiaceae. The record is from RNAcentral.